RNAcentral lists this ribosomal RNA (481 nucleotides) under uncultured bacterium. RNAcentral's name for it is "partial 16S ribosomal RNA". It matches the Rfam family "Bacterial small subunit ribosomal RNA", at positions 28 to 507 of the family's 1533-position model. The record is from RNAcentral.
GAUGAACGCUAGCGGCAGGCCUAAUACAUGCAAGUCGGACGGGAUUCAGGAGCUUGCUUCUGAUGAGAGUGGCGCACGGGUGCGUAACACGUAUGUAACCUACCUUUAUCAGGGGGUAGCCUCUCGAAAGAGAGAUUAAGCCCGCAUAAAAUCACAGCACAGCAUUGUGUAAUGAUCAAAUAUUUAUAGGAUAAAGAUGGGCAUGCGGAACAUUAGCUAGAUGGCGGGGUAACGGCCCACCAUGGCGACGAUGUUUAGGGGAUCUGAGAGGAUGGCCCCCCACACUGGUACUGAGACACGGACCAGACUCCUACGGGAGGCAGCAGUAAGGAAUAUUGGUCAAUGGGCGGAAGCCUGAACCAGCCAUGCCGCGUGCAGGAAGACGGCCCUACGGGUUGUAAACUGCUUUUAUACGGGAAUAAACCCAGAUACGUGUAUCUGGCUGAAUGUACUGUAAGAAUAAGGAUCGGCUAACUCCGUG